RNAcentral lists this ribosomal RNA (488 nucleotides) under uncultured bacterium. RNAcentral's name for it is "bacterial SSU rRNA". It matches the Rfam family "Bacterial small subunit ribosomal RNA", at positions 28 to 507 of the family's 1533-position model. The record is from RNAcentral.
GACGAACGCUGGCGGCGUGGAUUAGGCAUGCAAGUCGGACGGUAGGGCUUUAUCGUAAGAUAGAGUUUGAGAGUGGCGAACGGGUGAGUAACACGUAGGAAUCUACCCUUAAGACGGGGACAACCCAGGGAAACUUGGGCUAAUACCGGAUGAGAGUGCGAGAGAUUGCAUUUAAAAGGAUGGCGAAAGUUGUCGCUUAGGGAUGAGCCUGCGGUCUAUUAGUUAGUUGGUGAGGUAAGAGCUCACCAAGGCGAUGAUAGAUAGGCGGCCUUAACGGGUGGUCGCCCACACUGGGAUUGAGAUACGGCCCAGACUCCUACGGGAGGCAGCAGUGAGGAAUAUUGGUCAAUGGGCGAGAGCCUGAACCAGCCAAGUCGCGUGAAGGAAGAAGGUCUUAUGGAUUGUAAACUUCUUUAGCAGAGGGAUAAAGGUUAUUACGAGAUAAUAAUUUGCAGGUACUCUGCGAAAAAGGAUCGGCUAACUCCGUG